RNAcentral lists this ribosomal RNA (545 nucleotides) under uncultured Glomeromycotina. Its description in RNAcentral is "SSU rRNA". It matches the Rfam family "Eukaryotic small subunit ribosomal RNA", at positions 550 to 1098 of the family's 1831-position model. The record is from RNAcentral. Lineage: Eukaryota; Fungi; Glomeromycota.
GGAGGGCAAGUCUGGUGCCAGCAGCCGCGGUAAUUCCAGCUCCAAUAGCGUAUAUUAAAGUUGUUGCAGUUAAAAAGCUCGUAGUUGAAUUUCGGGGUUCUUCCGUUGGUCAGGCUAACAAGUCUGUACUAGCGUGUAGAAUCUCUACCUUCUGGGGAACCAUCAUGUUAUUAAUUUAGCGUGGUGGGAAACCAGGACCUUUACCUUGAAAAAAUUAGAGUGUUCAAAGCAGGCUUACGUCUGAAUACAUUAGCAUGGAAUAAUAAAAUAGGACGGUGGUCCUGUUUUGUUGGUUUCUGAAUCACCGUAAUGAUUAAUAGGGAUAGUUGGGGGCAUUAGUAUUCAAUUGUCAGAGGUGAAAUUCUUGGAUUUAUUGAAGACUAACUUCUGCGAAAGCAUUUGCCAAGGAUGUUUUCAUUAAUCAAGAACGAAAGUUAGGGGAUCGAAGACGAUCAGAUACCGUCGUAGUCUUAACCAUAAACUAUGCCGACUAGGGAUCGGACGAUGUUAAAUUUUACUGACUCGUUCGGCGCCUUACGGGAAAC